Panicum virgatum (switchgrass) is the source of this 968-nucleotide long non-coding RNA. RefSeq lists it as uncharacterized. The transcript is spliced from 4 exons. Lineage: Eukaryota; Viridiplantae; Streptophyta; Magnoliopsida; Poales; Poaceae. The record is from RefSeq and is a predicted model, not a curated record.
CCUCCUCCUCGCUAUUUGAGCUAGUGAUCUGGAGGUGGUGGUCGCACAAUAGCGAAGCGUCGGAGGGCGGCGAGGACAGCCCCAGCUCGGUGUCAUCGUUGGACUUUGCCGGCCGCUGCAGAUUUGAUGGUGCAGUUUCAGAGCCGCGCAAGGGGAUUAGAAGUGGUCAUGUGCCUGGGAGCAAAUGCGCUCUUUCCCUCAGUUGGAAAUUCUCCACUUCUCCAUACUUUGGUGUUCAACAUAUGAUACUUUGACUUCUUGUUCAUUCUAGCAUCAUAUUUUUCUUCAUCUAUCCUUACAUUUUAAUGAGGUGUAAAUGUGUGUGCUUACUAGAUACAUUAAUGGUCAGGUCAGGUUCUACACCUGUGAUGAUAUACUAAUUUGGUAUGAGAUAAUCACAACACGUUGAGAUUGUAGGAGAUCAUGAUAUUGUUGGUAUGUAGAUACACUUGUAGUAUUGGAGGCUAAUAUUCACUAUGAGACCUUGUUAACCAUAUCAGUAUGGAGAUAGGAUAAUCUUUCUUUGCACUUUGUAGCUUGGCUAUAUACACUGUAACACUAAAACUUGGAUUGGUGUUUCAACUAAAAGUCCAUGUAUCAUCAUCCUUUUUAUGUCCAUGCAGAGUAUUGCCAAAGAUGUUUUUCUAUCUCCGGAAAUAUUGUCUAUGUUAUUGCUUAUUUUUACUUGACUUUCUUCAAGUGCUUGACAGCUCACAAAAGCUAUGACCCCCAGAUGAACUCCGGAAACGAUUUGAGCAAGAAGGAAUAUCACUUGAUCAACCCCUUGUGACCUCUUGCGGCACUGGCGUGGCAGCAUGUAUACUAGCCUUGGGCCUCCAUCGCCUUGGUAAAACUGAUAUCACUGUAUAUCAUGGACCGAAUGGGGAGCCCAUCCCGAAACUCCAGUUGCGACUGGCGUCUAGUCUCAUAACCUGCUCAUGGAGGCUCUUGACUGUACUUCUCUUGUG